RNAcentral lists this ribosomal RNA (301 nucleotides) under uncultured bacterium. RNAcentral describes it as "partial 16S ribosomal RNA". It matches the Rfam family "Bacterial small subunit ribosomal RNA", at positions 509 to 807 of the family's 1533-position model. The record is from RNAcentral.
CAGUCGCCGCGGUAAUACGUAGGUGGCAAGCGUUGUCCGGAAUUAUUGGGCGUAAAGGGCUCGCAGGCGGUUUCUUAAGUCUGAUGUGAAAGCCCCCGGCUCAACCGGGGAGGGUCAUUGGAAACUGGGAAACUUGAGUGCAGAAGAGGAGAGUGGAAUUCCACGUGUAGCGGUGAAAUGCGUAGAGAUGUGGAGGAACACCAGUGGCGAAGGCGACUCUCUGGUCUGUAACUGACGCUGAGGAGCGGAAGCGUGGGGAGCGAACAGGAUUAGAUACCCGUGUAGUCCCUGUCUCUUAUAC